This 498-nucleotide ribosomal RNA is filed under the name uncultured bacterium. Its description in RNAcentral is "partial 16S ribosomal RNA". It matches the Rfam family "Bacterial small subunit ribosomal RNA", at positions 28 to 508 of the family's 1533-position model. The record is from RNAcentral.
GAUGAACGCUGGCGGCGUGCCUAAUACAUGCAAGUCGAGCGAACAGAUGAGGAGCUUGCUCCUCUGACGUUAGCGGCGGACGGGUGAGUAACACGUGGAUAACCUACCUAUAAGACUGGGAUAACUUCGGGAGACCGGAGCUAAUACCGGAUAAUAUAUUGAACCGCAUGGUUCAAUAGUGAAAGACGGUUUUGCUGUCACUUAUAGAUGGAUCCGCGCCGCAUUAGCUAGUUGGUAAGGUAACGGCUUACCAAGGCGACGAUGCGUAGCCGACCUGAGAGGGUGAUCGGCCACACUGGAACUGAGACACGGUCCAGACUCCUACGGGAGGCAGCAGUAGGGAAUCUUCCGCAAUGGGCGAAAGCUUGACGGAGCAACGCCGCGUGAGUGAUGAAGGUCUUCGGAUCGUAAAACUCUGUUAUUAGGGAAGAACAAAUGUGUAAGUAACUAUGCACGUCUUGACGGUACCUAAUCAGAAAGCCACGGCUAACUACGUGC